CAGUCGCCGCGGUAAUACGAUGGGUGCAAGCGUUACUCGGAAUUACUGGGCGUAAAGCGUGCGUAGGUGGUGGUUUAAGUCCGUUGUGAAAGCCCUGGGCUCAACCUGGGAAUUGCAGUGGAUACUGGGUCACUAGAGUGUGGUAGAGGAUAGUGGAAUUUCCGGUGUAGCAGUGAAAUGCGUAGAGAUCGGAAGGAACAUCUGUGGCGAAGGCGACUAUCUGGGCCAACACUGACACUGAGGCACGAAAGCGUGGGGAGCAAACAGGAUUAGAUACCCCGGUAGUCCCUGUCUCUUAUAC
This 301-nucleotide ribosomal RNA is filed under the name uncultured bacterium. RNAcentral's name for it is "partial 16S ribosomal RNA". It matches the Rfam family "Bacterial small subunit ribosomal RNA", at positions 509 to 807 of the family's 1533-position model. The record is from RNAcentral.